This 718-nucleotide small RNA is filed under the name Pan troglodytes (chimpanzee). RNAcentral's name for it is "processed transcript". Lineage: Eukaryota; Metazoa; Chordata; Mammalia; Primates; Hominidae. The record is from RNAcentral.
ACUUCCGGGGCCGCCUUCGUUUUUGUCGCGCGAGGUUUUGGUUUGUGAGGAUCGGCGAGUGGCGCCCACCAUCUCUGCUUGCUGAAAAGCUGCAGAGGCCGCCAGGAGCCCACGCACCUGAGACUUUUACCUUUACCCAGAAAGGAAUAAAAGAGGUCAGAUGAUGACAGCUGUGUCCUUAACAACCAGGCCCCAGGAAUCAGUGGCUUUUGAGGACGUGGCUGUGUACUUCACUACGAAGGAAUGGGCCAUCAUGGUGCCUGCCGAGAGGGCCUUGUACAGGGAUGUGAUGCUGGAGAACUAUGAGGCUGUGGCCUUUGUAGUGCCACCCACUUCCAAACCAGCUUUGGUCUCUCAUCUGGAGCAAGGGAAAGAGUCCUGUUUCACCCAGCCGCAGGGAGUCCUAAGCAGGAAUGACUGGAGAGCAGGCUGGAUAGGCGUCUUGGCUCCGGAGAAGGCUGCGUGGCAAGAGGCGGCCAGUGAUAGCGUUCUGCCUCUUGAUGAUCCUAUCUGCGAUGGCUGUCACCCGCUUUCCCCCACAGCGUCCAUCCGCCGGCCCAGACCCUGGUCCCAUGGAGCCUCAGGGGGUAACUGGCGCCCCUGCAACCCAUAUCCGGCAGGCUUUGAGCUCCAGCCGGAGGCAGCGGGCAAGAAACAUGGGCUUCUGGAGAAGCCGUGCUUUGCCCAGGAACUCCAUCUUGGUCUGUGCUGAGGAGCA